GAAUGUAUGCUAGAAGCAUUUGAUUAUAAAGAGAUAAGUUAUAACGUAUGUGUUGUUUACAUAUGUUUUAUGGGACUUAAAAUAUGUCCAGCGAGAUUUUUUACACAAAUUUGUUAAUAUGGUCUUUUCUGUGACAUGCACGGAGUGGGGAUCAGAAACUGUUUAAUCAUUGUUCUCCAAGAAAAACUACCUUGUAAGAUGCAUAUAUCUGAGCUGUAA
Molecule: unclassified non-coding RNA, 219 nt
Filed under: Hevea brasiliensis (rubber tree)
Lineage: Eukaryota; Viridiplantae; Streptophyta; Magnoliopsida; Malpighiales; Euphorbiaceae
Source: RNAcentral